GACGAACGCUGGCGGCGUGCUUAACACAUGCAAGUCGAACGGAAAGGCUCCAGCUUGCUGGAGUACUCGAGUGGCGAACGGGUGAGUAACACGUGGGUAAUCCGCCCUGCACUCUGGGAUAAGCCUGGGAAACUGGGUCUAAUACUGGAUAUGACCUUUCUCCUUAUGGGGUUUGGUGGAAAGUUUUUCGGUGUAGGAUGAGCCCGCGGCCUAUCAGCUUGUUGGUGGGGUGAUGGCCUACCAAGGCGACGACGGGUAGCCGGCCUGAGAGGGUGAUCGGCCACAUUGGGACUGAGAUACGGCCCAGACUCCUACGGGAGGCAGCAGUGGGGAAUAUUGCACAAUGGGCGGAAGCCUGAUGCAGCGACGCCGCGUGAGGGAUGACGGCCUUCGGGUUGUAAACCUCUUUCAGCAGGGACGAAGCGUAAGUGACGGUACCUGCAGAAGAAGCACCGGCUAACUAUGUG
This 467-nucleotide ribosomal RNA is filed under the name uncultured bacterium. RNAcentral describes it as "partial 16S ribosomal RNA". It matches the Rfam family "Bacterial small subunit ribosomal RNA", at positions 28 to 507 of the family's 1533-position model. The record is from RNAcentral.